This 306-nucleotide ribosomal RNA is filed under the name Triticum aestivum (bread wheat). RNAcentral describes it as "partial small subunit ribosomal RNA". The record is from RNAcentral. Lineage: Eukaryota; Viridiplantae; Streptophyta; Magnoliopsida; Poales; Poaceae.
AUGUCGACAUCCACCGCGGUAGUCUCCUCUGGCCUCAACAACAAUGUCUCUGAACCCCUCACACGAUCCAACUAUGUUCUUUGGCGUGCUCAAGCUCGCUCCCAGAUCAUGGGGGGCGGCCUCUUUGGGUACAUCGACAAAACCCUAGAACAACCAUCCAAAACCAUCACUAGCAAGAAUGCCGAGGGCAAAGAUCAGGUGGCUGUGAACCCUGCUUAUGCGCCUUGGCUCAUCCAAGAUCAGCAAAUAGUUGCCUAUCUUCGCAAUCUUUCCAAAGAAGUCCUAGUUCAAGUCACAUCUCUUUAA